UUCCGGUUGAUCCUGCCGGAGUCAUUGCUAUCGGGGUCCGAUUUAGCCAUGCUAGUCGCGCGGGUUAGACCCGCGGCGUAUAGCUCAGUAACACGUGGCCAAACUACCCUACAGACGGGAACAACCUCGGGAAACUGAGGCUAACUCCCGAUACGCGUCGACCGUUUGAACACGUCGACGCUCAAACGCUCCGGCGCUGUAGGAUGUGGCUGCGGCCGAUUAGGUAGACGGUGGGGUAACGGCCCACCGUGCCAAUAAUCGGUACGGGUUGUGAGAGCAAGAGCCCGGAGACGGAAUCUGAGACAAGAUUCCGGGCCCUACGGGGCGCAGAGGCGCGAAACCUUUACACUGCACGCCAGUCGAUAAGGGGACCCGAGUGAAAGGGCAUAUCGCCCUUUCUUUUCUGAACCGUAGGGAGGUUCAGGAACAAGAGCUGGGCAAGACCGGUGCCAGCCGCCGCGGUAAUACCGGCAGCUCGAGUGAUGACCGAUAUUAUUGGGCCUAAAGCGUCCGUAGCUGGCCGCGCAAGUCCGUCGGGAAAUCCACCCGCUUAACGGGUGGGCGUCCGGCGGAAACUGCACGGCUUGGGACAGGAAGGCUCGAGGGGUACGUUCGGGGUAGGAGUGAAAUCCCGUAAUCCUGAACGGACCACCGAUGGCGAAAGCACCUCGAGAGGACUGAUCCGACAGUGAGGGACGAAAGCCGGGGUCUCGAACCGGAUUAGAUACCCGGGUAGUCCCAGCCGUAAACGAUGUUCACUAGGUGUGACACUCACUACGAGUGAGUGUUGUGCCGCAGGGAAGCCGCUAAGUGAACCGCCUGGGAAGUACGUCCGCAAGGACGAAACUUAAAGGAAUUGGCGGGGGAGCACUACAACCGGAGGAGCCUGCGGUUUAAUUGGAUUCAACGCCGGAAAU
Molecule: ribosomal RNA, 917 nt
Filed under: uncultured archaeon
Lineage: Archaea
Description: bacterial SSU rRNA
Rfam family: Archaeal small subunit ribosomal RNA
Source: RNAcentral